RNAcentral lists this ribosomal RNA (506 nucleotides) under uncultured bacterium. RNAcentral's name for it is "partial 16S ribosomal RNA". It matches the Rfam family "Bacterial small subunit ribosomal RNA", at positions 29 to 523 of the family's 1533-position model. The record is from RNAcentral.
AUUGAACGCUGGCGGCAGGCCUAACACAUGCAAGUCGGACGGUAGCACAGAGGAGCUUGCUCCUCGGGUGACGAGUGGCGGACGGGUGAGUAAUGUCUGGGGAUCUGCCCGAUAGAGGGGGAUAACCACUGGAAACGGUGGCUAAUACCGCAUAACGUCGCAAGACCAAAGAGGGGGACCUUCGGGCCUCUCACUAUCGGAUGAACCCAGAUGGGAUUAGCUAGUAGGCGGGGUAACGGCCCACCUAGGCGACGAUCCCUAGCUGGUCUGAGGCGAUGACCAGCCACACAGGAACUGAGACACGGUCAAGACUCCGACGGGAGGCAGCAGUGGGGAAUAUUGCACAAUGGGCGCAAGCCUGAUGCAGCCAUGCCGCGUGUAUGAAGAAGGCCUUCGGGUUGUAAAGUACUUUCAGCGGGGAGGAAGGCGAUGUGGUUAAUAACCGCAUUGAUUGACGUUACCCGCAGAAGAAGCACCGGCUAACUCCGUGCCAGCCGCCGCCGUAA